GAUGAACGCUAGCGGCAGGCUUAAUACAUGCAAGUCGAACGGUAAGGUCUCUUCGGAGAUACACGAGUGGCGCACGGGUGCGUAACGCGUAUGCAACCUACCUUUAACUGGGAAAUAGCCCCGAGAAAUCGGGAUUAAUGUCCCAUAUUAUUCUGAGGAUACCUAUCCUUAGAAUGAAAGCUCCGGCGGUUAUUGAUGGGCAUGCGUGACAUUAGCUAGUUGGUGAGGUAACGGCUCACCAAGGCAACGAUGUCUAGGGGUCCUGAGAGGGUUAUCCCCCACACUGGUACUGAGACACGGACCAGACUCCUACGGGAGGCUGCAGCAAGGAAUAUUGGGCAAUGGACGCAAGUCUGACCCAGCCAUGCCGCGUGAAGGAUGAAUGUCCUAUGGAUUGUAAACUUCUUUUAUGCAGGAAAAAUAUCCCGGUCGUGAACCGGGACUGAUGGUACUGUAUGAAUAAGCAUCGGCUAACUCCGUGCCAGCCGCCGCAGUAA
RNAcentral lists this ribosomal RNA (497 nucleotides) under uncultured bacterium. RNAcentral's name for it is "partial 16S ribosomal RNA". It matches the Rfam family "Bacterial small subunit ribosomal RNA", at positions 28 to 523 of the family's 1533-position model. The record is from RNAcentral.